This 257-nucleotide ribosomal RNA is filed under the name uncultured Gardnerella sp. RNAcentral describes it as "partial 16S ribosomal RNA". It matches the Rfam family "Bacterial small subunit ribosomal RNA", at positions 98 to 355 of the family's 1533-position model. The record is from RNAcentral. Lineage: Bacteria; Bacillati; Actinomycetota; Actinomycetes; Bifidobacteriales; Bifidobacteriaceae.
CGGAACGGGUGAGUAAUGCGCGACCAACCUGCCCCAUGCUCCAGAAUAGCUCUUGGAAACGGGUGGUAAUGCUGGAUGCUCCAACUUGACGCAUGUCUUGUUGGGAAAGUGUUUAGUGGCAUGGGAUGGGGUCGCGUCCUAUCAGCUUGUAGGCGGGGUAAUGGCCCACCUAGGCUUCGACGGGUAGCCGGCCUGAGAGGGCGGACGGCCACAUUGGGACUGAGAUACGGCCCAGACUCCUACGGGAGGCAGCAGCC